GGGCGGUUAGCUCAGCGGUAGAGCACUACGUUGACAUCGUAGUGGUCACUGGUUCGAUCCCAGUAUCGCCCACCA
This 75-nucleotide transfer RNA is filed under the name Paracoccus aminophilus JCM 7686. RNAcentral describes it as "tRNA-Val (GAC) (tRNA-Val-GAC-1-1)". It matches the Rfam family "tRNA". From Rfam's summary of the family: Transfer RNA (tRNA) molecules are approximately 80 nucleotides in length. Their secondary structure includes four short double-helical elements and three loops (D, anti-codon, and T loops). Lineage: Bacteria; Pseudomonadati; Pseudomonadota; Alphaproteobacteria; Rhodobacterales; Paracoccaceae. The record is from RNAcentral. RNAcentral also lists the same sequence under 1 other name.